This 550-nucleotide ribosomal RNA is filed under the name Aspergillus candidus. RNAcentral describes it as "eukaryotic LSU rRNA". The stretch from base 238 to 391 matches the Rfam family "5.8S ribosomal RNA". The record is from RNAcentral. Lineage: Eukaryota; Fungi; Ascomycota; Eurotiomycetes; Eurotiales; Aspergillaceae.
AUGGAAGUAAAAGUCGUAACAAGGUUUCCGUAGGUGAACCUGCGGAAGGAUCAUUACCGAGUGAGGGUUUUUAUGAAGCCCAACCUCCCACCCGUGUAUACCGUACCCUGUUGMAUAGGAGGGCCCGCCUCAAGGCCACCGGGAGGCCUUGGGUCCCCGGGCCCGCSCCCACCGAAGACCCCAACCCGAACACUGUCUGAAAAGUGCAGUAUGAGUCGAUUGUUAACAAUCAGUCAAAACUUUCAACAAUGGAUUUAUUGGUUCCGGCAUCGAUGAAGAACGCAGCGAAAUGCGAUAAAUAAUGUGAAUUUCAGAAUUCAGUGAAUCAUCGAGUCUUUGAAAGCACAUUGCGCCCCCUGGUAUUCCGGGGGGCAUGCCUGUCCGAGMGUCAUUGCUGCCCUCAAGCAAGGUUUAUGUGUUGGGCCCCGUCCCCGGUACCCCCGGGGACGGGCCCGAAAGGCAGCGGCGGCACCGCGUCCGGUCCUCGAGMGUAUGGGGCUUUGUCACCCRCUCUGCAGGCCCGGCCGGCRCCAGCCGACCAAACCAACCA